ACACUUACCUGGCAGGAGAGAUACCAAGAUCACAAAGGUGGUUUUCCCAGUACAAGGCUUAUCCAUUGCACUCUGGAUGUGCUGACCCCUGUGAUUUCCCCAAAUUCGGGAAACUUGACUGCAUAAUUUGUGGUAGUGGGGGACUGCGUUCGCACUCUCCCCUA
Mus spicilegus (steppe mouse) is the source of this 164-nucleotide small nuclear RNA. Its record names the gene U1. It matches the Rfam family "U1 spliceosomal RNA". Rfam says of the family: U1 is a small nuclear RNA (snRNA) component of the spliceosome (involved in pre-mRNA splicing). Its 5' end forms complementary base pairs with the 5' splice junction, thus defining the 5' donor site of an intron. NCBI's taxonomy places the organism in Eukaryota, Metazoa, Chordata, Mammalia, Rodentia, Muridae. The record is from Ensembl.